This 664-nucleotide ribosomal RNA is filed under the name uncultured cyanobacterium. Its description in RNAcentral is "bacterial SSU rRNA". It matches the Rfam family "Bacterial small subunit ribosomal RNA", at positions 99 to 795 of the family's 1533-position model. Lineage: Bacteria; Bacillati; Cyanobacteriota. The record is from RNAcentral.
CGGACGGGUGAGUAACGCGUGAGAAUCUACCUUCAGGAUGGGGACAACCGUUGGAAACGACGGCUAAUCCCCAAUAGGCCGCAAGGUGAAACGGGAUUCCGCCUGGAGAGGAGCUCGCGUCCGAUUAGUUAGUUGGUGAGGUAAGAGCUUACCAAGGCAGCGAUCGGUAGCUGGUCUGAGAGGAUGAGCAGCCACACUGGGACUGAGACACGGCCCAGACUCCUACGGGAGGCAGCAGUGGGGAAUUUUCCGCAAUGGGCGCAAGCCUGACGGAGCAACGCCGCGUGUGGGAAGAAGGCUCUUGGGCUGUCAACCACUUUUCUCAGGGAAGAAGCACUGACGGUACCUGAGGAAUCAGCCUCGGCUAACUCCGUGCCAGCAGCCGCGGUAAUACGGAGGAGGCAAGCGUUAUCCGGAAUUAUUGGGCGUAAAGCGUCCGCAGGGGGCACAUCAAGUCUGCUGUUAAAGGCUGGAGCUUAACUCCGGUAGAGCAGUGGAAACUGGUGUGCUAGAGGGCGACAGGGGUAGAGGGAAUUCCCAGUGUAGCGGUGAAAUGCGUAGAGAUUGGGAAGAACACCGGUGGCGAAAGCGCUCUACUGGGUCGCACCUGACCCUCAGGACGAAAGCUAAAAGGUAGCGAAAGGGAUUAGAUACCCCUGUAGUC